RNAcentral lists this ribosomal RNA (165 nucleotides) under Myxotrichum sp. RNAcentral's name for it is "partial large subunit ribosomal RNA". It matches the Rfam family "Eukaryotic large subunit ribosomal RNA", at positions 99 to 261 of the family's 3401-position model. The record is from RNAcentral. Lineage: Eukaryota; Fungi; Ascomycota; Leotiomycetes; Myxotrichaceae.
CGGCAACAGCUCAAAUUUGAAAUCUGGCCCUCUCAGGGUCCGAGUUGUAAUUUGGAGAGGAUGCUUCGGGUGUGGCCCCGGUCUAAGUUCCUUGGAACAGGACGUCACAGAGGGUGAGAAUCCCGUCUUGAAUCGGUGACCGCGUCCAUGUGAAGCUCCUUCGAC